Molecule: non-coding RNA, 618 nt
Organism: Carica papaya (papaya)
Lineage: Eukaryota; Viridiplantae; Streptophyta; Magnoliopsida; Brassicales; Caricaceae
Source: RefSeq, a predicted model, not a curated record
UGGGGCAUAAUGAGGGAAACGAUAAUUUGUUGAUAAUGAUGAAGGACCAGUUUGCAAAUUAUGUUGUCCAGAAGAUUUUUGACAGGUGCACUGAUAAUCAGCGGGCAGUGUUGCUUAAUCGAAUCAGAAUACAUGCCCAUGCUUUAAAGAAAUACACUUACGGGAAACACAUUGUUGCUCGGUUUGAACAGCAAUUCGGAGAAGAAAAUCAAAUAUCGGGAUCGUGAGCCCAGAUGAAGAGAAUUAUUAUGGGAUUCUUGCCUCUGCAGCUCCGGCUGAGAUGAAUUACCGUGCAUUAUGUCAAUGUUUGGGGAUUGAAAUGAGAGCAUAACACAGUUGUUUUCCCCCUUCAUCCGAAAACGCUGACAUGAUUACGUGCGCAUUGAUAGCUUCAGCUGUUGGAAGCUCAAUGAUGGGUAAUAAUAGAGGGUUGAAUAGAGUGCAAAGUUGGUAAAUAUAUGUAUAUCUGGUUUUAGGUAUUUGCAGUAUAUUAUUAAGAAAAGGAGGGAAAAGAGGGUAAAGAGUUUUUUAUUUAGAAAUUUCUCACUUUGGAACGUGUUAAAGGGGGAAUUAUUCGGAAGGAAACUCUUCCUGUUGUGUAAAAAUUGCUUAAAACGA